RNAcentral lists this ribosomal RNA (1173 nucleotides) under Staphylococcus pseudintermedius. Its description in RNAcentral is "partial 23S ribosomal RNA". It matches the Rfam family "Bacterial large subunit ribosomal RNA", at positions 1239 to 2410 of the family's 2925-position model. The record is from RNAcentral. Lineage: Bacteria; Bacillati; Bacillota; Bacilli; Caryophanales; Staphylococcaceae.
UUCUAAGGGCGUUGAAGCAUGAUCGCAAGGACAUGUGGAGCGCUUAGAAGUGAGAAUGCCGGUGUGAGUAGCGAAAGACGGGUGAGAAUCCCGUCCACCGAUUGACUAAGGUUUCCAGAGGAAGGCUCGUCCGCUCUGGGUUAGUCGGGUCCUAAGCUGAGGCCGACAGGCGUAGGCGAUGGAUAACAGGUUGAUAUUCCUGUACCACCAUUAUUCGUUUUAAGCGAUGGGGGGACGCAGUAGGAUAGGCGAAGCGUGCUGUUGGAGUGCACGUCCAAGCAGUGAGAUUGAGUGUUAGGCAAAUCCGGCACUCUUAAGAUUGAGCUGUGAUGGGGAGAGGAACUUGUUCCUCGAGUCGUUGAUUUCACACUGCCGAGAAAAGCCUCUAGCUAGAAUAACGGUGCCCGUACCGCAAACCGACACAGGUAGUCAAGAUGAGAAUUCUAAGGUGAGCGAGCGAACUCUCGUUAAGGAACUCGGCAAAAUGACCCCGUAACUUCGGGAGAAGGGGUGCUCUUUGAGGUUCACGCUUCGAAGAGCCGCAGUGAAUAGGCCCAAGCGACUGUUUAUCAAAAACACAGGUCUCUGCUAAACCGUAAGGUGACGUAUAGGGGCUGACGCCUGCCCGGUGCUGGAAGGUUAAGAGGAGUGGUUAGCGCAAGCGAAGCUACGAAUCGAAGCCCCAGUAAACGGCGGCCGUAACUAUAACGGUCCUAAGGUAGCGAAAUUCCUUGUCGGGUAAGUUCCGACCCGCACGAAAGGCGUAACGAUUUGGGCACUGUCUCAACGAGAGACUCGGUGAAAUCAUAGUACCGGUGAAGAUGCCGGUUACCCGCGACAGGACGGAAAGACCCCGUGGAGCUUUACUGUAGCCUGAUAUUGAAAUUCGGUACAGUUUGUACAGGAUAGGUAGGAGCCUUAGAAGCGUGAGCGCUAGCUUACGUGGAGGCAUUGGUGGGAUACUACCCUAAUUGUAUUGGAUUUCUAACCCGCAGCACUUAUCGUGCUGGGAGACAGUGUCAGGCGGGCAGUUUGACUGGGGCGGUCGCCUCCUAAAGAGUAACGGAGGCGCUCAAAGGUUCCCUCAGAAUGGUUGGAAAUCAUUCAUAGAGUGUAAAGGCAUAAGGGAGCUUGACUGCGAGACCUACAAGUCGAGCAGGGUCGAAAGACGGA